GCCGGCCUAGUAUAGUGGUUAGUACAGUUCGUUGUGGCCGAACAAACCCGGGUUCGAUUCCAGGGACCGGCA
Molecule: transfer RNA, 72 nt
Filed under: Metschnikowia bicuspidata
Lineage: Eukaryota; Fungi; Ascomycota; Pichiomycetes; Serinales; Metschnikowiaceae
Rfam family: tRNA
About the family: Transfer RNA (tRNA) molecules are approximately 80 nucleotides in length.
Source: Rfam by way of RNAcentral